AUGGCGGGGGAGGCCAAGGAGCCGGAGGCGGCCGCCCAGGGCGAGGGGUCCAAGGCCAAGGCCAAGAAGCCCAAGGCUGCGGCGGCCGCGGCCGCCCAGGACGGGGAGGGGGCCAAGGCCAAGGCCAAGAAGCCCAAGGCGGCUGCUGCGGCUGAGGAGGGGGAGGGGGCCAAGGCCAAGGCCAAGAAGCCUAAGGCGGCUGCGGCCGCCGAGGAGGGGGAGGGGUCCAAGGCCAAGAAGCCUAAGGCGGCUGCGGCCGCCGAGGAGGGGGAGGGGGCCAAGGCCAAGAAGCCUAAGGCGGCGGGCGCGCCGGUGGCGGCGAUGGCGGAGGCGGAGGUGGAGGAGCUGCCCAAGGCCAUCGUGCGGCGGCUGGUCAAGGACAAGCUCGCCCGGGCCGCGUCCGGCGGCGAGGGGGCAGAGGGAGGGGCCGAGGUCAUCGUCAACAAGGACGCCAUGGCCGCCUUCGCCGAGGGCGCCCGCAUCUUCAUCCACUACCUCUCCGCCACGGCGAAUGAUGUGUGCAAGGACGGAAAGAGGCAGACGAUCAACGCCGAGGACGUCUUCAAGGCGCUUGAUGAGAUCGAGUUCCCCGAGUUUGUGGAGCCCCUGAGGACUGCACUGGAAGAGUUCAGAAGCAGAAACGCAGCCCGGAAGCCAGCAUCAGGCAAGAAGCAAUCUGAAAAGAAGAGGAAAUUGGAUAAAGAGGCAGUGCCCGAAGAGCAAAACGGUGCAGCCGAUGAAGCCAACGCGGACAAGGAUGAGUUUUUCUGA
This 771-nucleotide ribosomal RNA is filed under the name Triticum aestivum (bread wheat). RNAcentral describes it as "partial small subunit ribosomal RNA". Lineage: Eukaryota; Viridiplantae; Streptophyta; Magnoliopsida; Poales; Poaceae. The record is from RNAcentral.